Molecule: non-coding RNA, 69 nt
Organism: Bos taurus (domestic cattle)
Lineage: Eukaryota; Metazoa; Chordata; Mammalia; Artiodactyla; Bovidae
Source: Rfam
CCUGAUAGCUUAGUAGGUAAAGAAUCUGCCUGCAAUGCAGGAGACCCUGUUUCAAUUCCUGGGUCAGGA